This 420-nucleotide ribosomal RNA is filed under the name bacterium. Its description in RNAcentral is "partial 16S ribosomal RNA". It matches the Rfam family "Bacterial small subunit ribosomal RNA", at positions 355 to 776 of the family's 1533-position model. The record is from RNAcentral.
UGGGGGAUAUUGCACAAUGGGCGAAAGCCUGAUGCAGCGACGCCGCGUGGGGGAUGAAGGCUUUCGGGUUGUAAACCUCUUUCGCUAUCGAACAAGGCCCGCUUAGGGUGGGUUGAGGGUAGGUGGAGAAGAAGCGCCGGCUAACUACGUGCCAGCAGCCGCGGUAAUACGUAGGGCGCGAGCGUUGUCCGGAAUUAUUGGGCGUAAAGGGCUUGUAGGCGGCUUGUUGCGCCUGCUGUGAAAACGCGGGGCUUAACUUCGCGCGUGCAGUGGGUACGGGCAGGCUUGAGUGUGGUAGGGGUGACUGGAAUUCCAGGUGUAGCGGUGGAAUGCACAGAUAUCUGGAGGAACACCGAUGGCGAAGGCAGGUCACUGGGCCAUUACUGACGCUGAGGAGCGAAAGCAUGGGUAGCGAACAGG